AGUCAAUAGAUACCCUGGUAGUCCACGCCGUAAACGAUGAGUACUAGGCGUAGGAGGUAUCGACUCCUUCUGUGCCACAGUUAACACAAUAAGUACUCCGCCUGGGAAGUACGGUCGCAAGAUUAAAAACUCAAAGGAAUUGACGGGGGGCCCGCACAAGCAGCGGAGCAUGUGGUUUAAUUCGAAGCAACGCAAAGAACCUUACCUAGACUUGACAUCUCCUGAAUAGUGUAGAGAUACAUGAAGCCCUUCGGGGUCGAGGAAGACAGGUGGUGCAUGGUUGUCGUCAGCUCGUGUCGUGAGAUGUUGGGUUAAGUCCCGCAACGAGCGCAACCCUUAUUACUAGUUGCUACCAUUAAGUUGAGCACUCUAGUGAGACUGCCCGGGUUAA
RNAcentral lists this ribosomal RNA (391 nucleotides) under uncultured bacterium. RNAcentral's name for it is "bacterial SSU rRNA". It matches the Rfam family "Bacterial small subunit ribosomal RNA", at positions 774 to 1161 of the family's 1533-position model. The record is from RNAcentral.